GACGAACGCUGGCGGCGUGCUUAACACAUGCAAGUCGAGCGGAAAGGCCCUGCUUUUGUGGGGUGCUCGAGUGGCGAACGGGUGAGUAACACGUGAGUAACCUGCCCUUGACUUUGGGAUAACUUCAGGAAACUGGGGCUAAUACCGGAUAGGAGCUCCUGCUGCAUGGUGGGGGUUGGAAAGUUUCGGCGGUUGGGGAUGGACUCGCGGCUUAUCAGCUUGUUGGUGGGGUAGUGGCUUACCAAGGCUUUGACGGGUAGCCGGCCUGAGAGGGUGACCGGCCACAUUGGGACUGAGAUGCGGCCCAGACUCCUACGGGAGGCAGCAGUGGGGAAUAUUGCACAAUGGGCGGAAGCCUGAUGCAGCAACGCCGCGUGCGGGAUGACGGCCUUCGGGUUGUAAACCGCUUUCGCCUGUGACGAAGCGUGAGUGACGGUAAUGGGUAAAGAAGCACCGGCUAACUACGUG
This 468-nucleotide ribosomal RNA is filed under the name uncultured bacterium. RNAcentral's name for it is "partial 16S ribosomal RNA". It matches the Rfam family "Bacterial small subunit ribosomal RNA", at positions 28 to 507 of the family's 1533-position model. The record is from RNAcentral.